CCUACGGGAGGCAGCAGUGGGGAAUCUUGCGCAAUGGGCGAAAGCCUGACGCAGCAACGCCGCGUGCGGGAAGAAGGCUUUCGGGCUGUAAACCGCUUUCAGCAGGAACGAAAAUGACGGUACCCGCAGAAGAAGGAGCGGCCAACUAUGUGCCAGCAGCCGCGGUGAUACAUAGGCUUCAAGCGUUGUCCGGAUUUAUUGGGCGUAAAGAGUUCGUAGGCGGUCGAGUAAGUCGGGUGUGAAAAUUCUGGGCUCAACCCAGAGACGCCACCCGAUACUGCUUAACUUGAGUUCGAUAGGGGAGUGGGGAAUUCCUAGUGUAGCGGUGAAAUGCGCAGAUAUUAGGAGGAACACCGGUGGCGAAGGCGCCACUCUGGAUCGAUACUGACGCUGAGGACGAAAGCAUGGGUAGCAAACAGGAUUAGAUACCCUGGUAGUCCAUGCCGUAAACGGUGGGCACUAGGUGUGGGGAUUCCUAUUAACGAAUUCCGNGCCGUCGCUAACGCAUUAAGUNCCCCGCCUGGGGAAUCGGUCGCAAGCUAAACUUAAGGAAUUGACGGUCUGNGAGNGCGAGNGACGACGAGGAGNGG
This 590-nucleotide ribosomal RNA is filed under the name uncultured bacterium. Its description in RNAcentral is "bacterial SSU rRNA". It matches the Rfam family "Bacterial small subunit ribosomal RNA", at positions 338 to 945 of the family's 1533-position model. The record is from RNAcentral.